GUCCAGACUCCUACGGGAGGCAGCAGUGGGGGAUAUUGCACAAUGGGGGGAACCCUGAUGCAGCGACGCCGCGUGGGUGAAGAAGUCAUUCGUGACGUAAAGCCCUAUCAGCAGGGAAGAAAAUGACGGUACCUGACUAAGAAGCCCCGGCUAACUACGUGCCAGCAGCCGCGGUAAUACGUAGGGGGCAAGCGUUAUCCGGAUUUACUGGGUGUAAAGGGAGCGCAGGCGGCGCGCCAAGUCUGAUGUGAAACCCCGGGGCUCAACCCCGGGCAUGCAUUGGAAACUGGCGGGCUGGAGUGCCGGAGAGGUAAGCGGAAUUCCUAGUGUAGCGGUGAAAUGCGUAGAUAUUAGGAGGAACACCAGUGGCGAAGGCGGCUUACUGGACUGUAACUGACGUUGAGGCUCGAAAGCGUGGGGAGCAAACAGGAUUAGAUACCCCGGUAA
RNAcentral lists this ribosomal RNA (447 nucleotides) under uncultured bacterium. RNAcentral describes it as "partial 16S ribosomal RNA". It matches the Rfam family "Bacterial small subunit ribosomal RNA", at positions 329 to 793 of the family's 1533-position model. The record is from RNAcentral.